GUCUUUUAGAAAUUUAUAUUAAAAGUUUAAUCUGCCCAAUGAUUACAUUAAAUGGCCGCGGUAAUUUGACCGUGCAAAGGUAGCAUAAUAAUUAGUCUUUUAAUUGAAGUCUAGAAUGAAAGAUUGGAUGAGAAAAUAACUUUCUUUUAAUUAAAAUUAAAAUUUAAUUUUUAAGUGAAAAAGCUUAAAUAAAUUAAAGGGACGAUAAGACCCUAUAGAGCUUUAUAUUAAUAAAAAUAUUUAGAUUAAAUUAAAUAAAUAUUAAUAUUUAAUUGGGGUGAUUUAUAAAUUUAUAAAACUUUAUAUAAAAAAAUCAUAAAUAAAUGAAAUAAUGAUCCAGUAAUACUGAUUAAAAGAUAAAGUUACCUUAGGGAUAACAGCGUAAUUUACUUGGAGAGUCCAAAUCUAUAAGUAAGCUUACGACCUCGAUGUUGGAUUAAGAUAAGAUAAGGGGGUAGGUUCUCUUAAUCUAGGUCUGUUCGACCUUUAAAUUCUUACA
This 499-nucleotide ribosomal RNA is filed under the name Clastoptera xanthocephala. Its description in RNAcentral is "partial 16S ribosomal RNA". It matches the Rfam family "Bacterial large subunit ribosomal RNA", at positions 1825 to 2600 of the family's 2925-position model. The record is from RNAcentral. Lineage: Eukaryota; Metazoa; Arthropoda; Insecta; Hemiptera; Clastopteridae.